GACGAACGCUGGCGGCGUGCUUAACACAUGCAAGUCGAGCGGUAAGGCCCUUUCGGGGGUACACGAGCGGCGAACGGGUGAGUAACACGUGGGUGACCUGCCCUCAGCUCUGGGAUAAGCCUGGGAAACCGGGUCUAAUACCGGAUAUGACUCCAUGACGCAUGUUGUGGGGUGGAAAGCCUUGUGCGGCUGAGGAUGGGCCCGCGGCCUAUCAGCUUGUUGGUGGGGUGAUGGCCUACCAAGGCGACGACGGGUAGCCGGCCUGAGAGGGCGACCGGCCGACACUGGGACUGAGACACGGCCC
This 304-nucleotide ribosomal RNA is filed under the name uncultured bacterium. RNAcentral describes it as "bacterial SSU rRNA". It matches the Rfam family "Bacterial small subunit ribosomal RNA", at positions 28 to 332 of the family's 1533-position model. The record is from RNAcentral.